This 359-nucleotide long non-coding RNA is filed under the name Homo sapiens (human). Its description in RNAcentral is "HSALNT0004876". The record is from RNAcentral. Lineage: Eukaryota; Metazoa; Chordata; Mammalia; Primates; Hominidae.
CUUCUCUUGCCACUUGAGCUCACUGUACACUUUCUCCAUCUCCCGCAGCCGCUUCCUGAAGGCAAAUUCCGUUGCAACUCUCUGGGCUUCAAGCUCGUUGUUGGUCUACGUGUGGGGUCAACCUUCAGCGAGAUGUUUGGGGAUCUGAGGUUGAGAGAGAGACAGCCUCUGUCGAUCUCUAGUGUCUCCAUUUUGCCCCGAUGGUCGGAGUUGAGCUGCUCCCGGGCCUCCUGGCGGAUCUGAUGGGAAGCAUCUCGCUGCAGCUGGGCAUUGGUGGAUAGCAGGUAGCUGUUAGUGUGCCAGUCGAAGAUAGUUGUGCUGCCAAGCAACUUGAGGUAAAGGCAUUAAAAGGGUUAGAC